UUUCAUUAGUAUCCCAUGUGCCUCCUCCACCAAAGUUCAAGAAUCCGGGCAGUUUUGCAAAACCAUGCCCAAUUGGCAGUCAUGUCGUAGGCAAAGCUCUUUGUGACAUAAGAGCUAGUACAACUGUGGGGUCAUGGUGGGUUGAAAAGGAGAAGAUAGAGGAAGAGCCCAUUGUGUUUGACAAGCUUCCAUGCCCCAAUCUGAUCAUAGACAUAAUGGAGAAAACACCUAGUUGUUGGACG
Molecule: long non-coding RNA, 242 nt
Filed under: Panax ginseng (ginseng)
Lineage: Eukaryota; Viridiplantae; Streptophyta; Magnoliopsida; Apiales; Araliaceae
Description: long non-coding RNA (PGIN_LNC014394)
Source: RNAcentral